This 253-nucleotide ribosomal RNA is filed under the name uncultured bacterium. RNAcentral describes it as "partial 16S ribosomal RNA". It matches the Rfam family "Bacterial small subunit ribosomal RNA", at positions 524 to 776 of the family's 1533-position model. The record is from RNAcentral.
GACAGAGGGUGCAAACGUUGUUCGGAAUCACUGGGCAUAAAGCGCACGUAGGCGGCCCACUAAGUCAGGUGUGAAAGCCCCCGGCUCAACCGGGGAAUGGCAUUUGAUACUGGUGGGCUCGAGGAAGGUAGGGGUGGGCGGAACUCCAGGUGGAGCGGUGAAAUGCGUAGAUAUCGCUUGGAACGCCAAAGGUGAAGACAGGUGACUGGGGGUGUGCCGACGCUGAGACGCGAAAGCCAGGGGAGCAAACGGG